UACGUAGGGGGCGAGCGUUGUCCGGAGUUACUGGGCGUAAAGGGCGUGUAGGCGGUUGGAUAAGUCUGGUGUGAAAUUCCUCAGCUUAACUGAGGAGCUGCGCUGGAAACUGUCUGACUGGAGGUCGGCAGGGGUGACUGGAAUUCCUGGUGUAACGGUGAAAUGUGUAGAUAUCAGGAGGAACACCUGUGGCGAAGGCGGGUCACUGGGCCGCAACUGACGCUGAGACGCGAAAGCGUGGGUAGCAAACAGG
Molecule: ribosomal RNA, 253 nt
Filed under: uncultured bacterium
Lineage: Bacteria
Description: partial 16S ribosomal RNA
Rfam family: Bacterial small subunit ribosomal RNA
Source: RNAcentral